Syngnathus typhle (broad-nosed pipefish) is the source of this 2120-nucleotide long non-coding RNA. RefSeq lists it as uncharacterized. The transcript is spliced from 4 exons. The record is from RefSeq and is a predicted model, not a curated record. Lineage: Eukaryota; Metazoa; Chordata; Actinopteri; Syngnathiformes; Syngnathidae.
CCUUUUUACAUUUUUAAAUUAACUUAUGGUUGAGAGGAGACUUUUUAACUUUUUAAACCUUUAUUUUACAAUCAAAUUUUAACCUUUUAAACCUUUAUUUUACAAUCAAAUUUUAACCUUUUAAAACUUUAUUUUACAAUCAAAUUUUAAAAUUUUAAACCUUUAUUUUACAAUCAAAUUUUAACCUUUUAAACCUUUAUUUUACAAUCAAAUUUUAAAGAUGAGUUAAGGGAAGGCCUUUUACAUUUUAAUUUUUUAAUUGUUUUGAACUUUUAUUUUGAAUUUUUUUGAAUGUCAUAAUCACCAGGCGAGAACAGAAAACAGAUGAGGUAAGUUGCUCGUCAUGAAACAUGUUUUUUCCUUUCUUUCUAAAGAGAGUAAAUGCUGCUAUUUCACUCCUUUGUAUUUUAACAGUUUUUAUCUGGCGAAAGCAGUUCAUCCCAGAAUGGAGGCCAGAGGUAGGCAUGACAUAUCACCUUAUUGUAAUGUAAUUAUAAAAUUGUAACAUGUUGUAAUUUAUAGUUAAGCUUGUGUAAGCCCUCUGUACAAUCAUACAUUUUCAAUCAACUUUGCUGGAUUGUCCUUUUUUCUCCACAAAGACCUUGAGCAUGCAAAAACAUUCAUCAUGGACGAAUGACUCCCAAGCAGACUCAAGGCACGCCACCCCUACAACAUGGCAGCACAAGAGAUGCUCAAUUCCAUCCCUGAAGACAUCUCCAGAGAUGCCUGGCUGGCAGCAGCUUGGAAGCAGGAGUGGGAGGCAGCUGGCCCCUCCCUCAUGCACAGUUAUGUCUGGGAACCAGGAGACGGCGCCAUAGGAGGAGACGAACUACCUCGCCAGCAGUGGACCACACUGAACCGCUUAAGAACUGGUGUUGGGCGCUUCAACAUGUCUAGUGGGGUCUGGCGGACAGUGCGGCAUGCGAGUGCGGAGCCCUCGAGCAGACAGCCGACCACACCAUCAACACCUACACCAACAUAUAGACCACCCUCAGAGGCCGGCCUCUUCGACCUGGGACCAGAGAUGCUGGCGUGGCUCCACGACACCAAGUUGGAGCGCUGACGUUACACGAGAGAGAGAGAGAGAGAGAGAGAGAGAGAGAGAGAGAGAGAGAGAGACUCCCAAACCAGGGUGGCAAGAAGCAGGACUUCUCAUUCCUCUUUUUCUAUGUUGCGUGUGGCUCCACAUGCUCCAUUUGUCUAGACCAUUUGUUUGGCCAACUUGGUACUCAGCCUUGAUGAGACCUGGCCUGUCUCGCCAAAAAAAUGACCGACAUUUUAAGAAGAUCCAUGGGACCAGUGUUAUUCUCCUUUUCUAUUGACUCCAAGCAACAGCACAGGGAGAGCCAAGACUUUCCAAAAGACCUGUACAACGGAGGCCAGCAUCAUGAAACACAAACUCCCAAACCAGCACGGUAACAUGAAACACAAACUCCCAAACCAGCAUGGUAACACACAGGACUUCUUCUGAUUCUUCUUAUGUUCUUGGGUCUUGCCUGUGGUUCUACACGCAUCCAGAAAUGCAGACAAAGAACAGCUUGGCCUUUAACAGUCGGAAGCCUCUGAUUUUACUCUACUAAGCCUCAGAUACAGUCUGUUUUCUGUUCUCAUUCAGUCAUUCAUUCAUUCAUUCAUUUAUUCAUUUAUUUAUUUAUUUAUUUAUUUAUUUAUUUAUUUAUUUAUUUAUUUAUUUAUUUAUUUAUUUAUUUAUUUAUUUAUUAUAUUUUUUGCCUCAAAUUAUGUUUGCAUUAUCUUUUGUAUAACAGCGUCUUCAAUCAUGUUGCACUUAAACUCUUAAAAAAUAACACUGAAAUUAACAUAACAUCCAUCCAUCCAUUCAUUCUCUGAACCGCUUAGUCCCCACGCGGGCCGCAGGUGUGCUGGAUCCUAUCCCAGCCGUCAUCGGGCAGUAGGUGGGGGACGCCCUGAACCGGUUGCCAGCCAAUCGCAGGGCACACAGCGAUUAUUAUCUAUUGAAUCAGUAAAAUACUUGAUAUGUUUUUAUUUGUUAUGUCUUCAGCGUUUUUGAAAGUUAUUUAUAUUAUUUCUUGCAUUACUUCUUUGACUCAAUUAAAAAAACUGUAUUUUGUCCCAAAAGGCACUAUUUUUUUCCUUCUCUU